GAUCUCUAUCAUUGCAAUGUAGACAUAUACAAGUACGCUAGAUAUGAUAUACCAUACAAAAUGACAGUUAAUUUUUGUGCUAAUUCAAAGCACCCCACCGAGCGUACCAG
This is a long non-coding RNA of Maniola jurtina (meadow brown), 110 nucleotides long. RefSeq lists it as uncharacterized. The record is from RefSeq and is a predicted model, not a curated record. The transcript has 3 exons. NCBI's taxonomy places the organism in Eukaryota, Metazoa, Arthropoda, Insecta, Lepidoptera, Nymphalidae.